Molecule: ribosomal RNA, 279 nt
Filed under: uncultured Oscillospiraceae bacterium
Lineage: Bacteria; Bacillati; Bacillota; Clostridia; Eubacteriales; Oscillospiraceae
Description: partial 16S ribosomal RNA
Rfam family: Bacterial small subunit ribosomal RNA
Source: RNAcentral
UCGAACGGAAGUUAGAGCUUCGGUUUAACUUUAGUGGCGAACGGGUGAGUAACGCGUGAGGAACCUGCCCUUCAGAGGGGGACAACAGUUGGAAACGACUGCUAAUACCGCAUAAUGUAUUCGGAAGGCAUCUUCUGAAUACCAAAGGAGAAAUCCGCUGAGGGAUGGGCUCACGUCUGAUUAGUUAGUUGGUGAGGUAACGGCUCACCAAGACUGCGAUCAGUAGCCGGACUGAGAGGGUGAACGGCCACAUUGGGACUGAGACACGGCCCAGACUCC